RNAcentral lists this ribosomal RNA (491 nucleotides) under uncultured bacterium. RNAcentral describes it as "bacterial SSU rRNA". It matches the Rfam family "Bacterial small subunit ribosomal RNA", at positions 903 to 1397 of the family's 1533-position model. The record is from RNAcentral.
AAAGGAAUAGACGGGGGCCCGCACAAGCAGUGGAGUAUGUGGUUUAAUUCGAAGCAACGCGAAGAACCUUACCAGGUCUUGACAUCCGACUAACGAAGCAGAGAUGCAUCAGGUGCCCUUCGGGGAAAGUCGAGACAGGUGGUGCAUGGUUGUCGUCAGCUCGUGUCGUGAGAUGUUGGGUUAAGUCCCGCAACGAGCGCAACCCUUGUUUUUAGUUGCUACGCAAGAGCACUCUAAAGAGACUGCCGUUGACAAAACGGAGGAAGGUAGGGACGACGUCAAAUCAUCAUGCCCUUUAUGACCUGGGCUACACACGUACUACAAUGGUCGCUAACAAAGGGAAGCAAUAUCGCGAGAUGGAGCAAAUCCCCAAAAGCGGUCUCAGUUCAGAUUGCAGGCUGCAACCCGCCUGCAUGAAGUAGGAAUUGCUAGUAAUCGCGGAUCAGCAUGCCGCGGUGAAUACGUUCCCGGGCCUUGUACACACCGCCCGU